RNAcentral lists this long non-coding RNA (202 nucleotides) under Lupinus angustifolius (narrow-leaved blue lupine). Its description in RNAcentral is "long non-coding RNA (LANG_LNC002464)". Lineage: Eukaryota; Viridiplantae; Streptophyta; Magnoliopsida; Fabales; Fabaceae. The record is from RNAcentral.
GAAAAUUUACACAUGUGGUGCACCUUGACCGAAAAAUUACGGUUUUGGUGCACCUUUUAAAAAAAUUACCAAACUAGUAUAACUUUUUAGAAAUCGGCAAUGGGAUUGCCGAUUUCUGUAAAAAAAUUUCUCUCUCCUCCCCAAAAUCGGCACUGGGGAGGGAGUUUUAUUAGGAUAUAAUUUUUUUUUUAAACUCCCCCCU